AUCCCUUGACAUCCUGCGAACUUUCUAGAGAUGGAUUGGUGCCUGCUUGCAGGAGCUUUCAUACAGGUGCUGCACGGCUGUCGUCAGCUCGUGUCGUGAGAUGUUGGGUUAAGUCCCGCAACGAGCGCAACCCUCGUCGUUAGUUGCUAACAGUUCGGCUGAGAACUCUAACGAGACUGCCUACGCAAGUAGGAGGAAGGUGAGGACGACGUCAAGUCAUCAUGGCCCUUACGACCAGGGCUACACACGUGCUACAAUGGGGUAUACAAAGAGCAGCAAUACGGUGACGUGGAGCGAAUCUCAAAAAUGCCUCCCAGUUCGGAUUGUAGUCUGCAACUCGACUACAUGAAGUUGGAAUCGCUAGUAAUCAUAGAUCAGCUAUGCUACGGUGAAUACGUUCCCGGGUCU
Molecule: ribosomal RNA, 408 nt
Filed under: uncultured bacterium
Lineage: Bacteria
Description: bacterial SSU rRNA
Rfam family: Bacterial small subunit ribosomal RNA
Source: RNAcentral